GACGGACGCUGGCGGCGUGCUUAACACAUGCAAGUCGAACGGAAAGGCCCUGCUUUUGUGGGGUGCUCGAGUGGCGAACGGGUGAGUAACACGUGAGUAACCUGCCCUUGACUUUGGGAUAACUUCAGGAAACUGGGGCUAAUACCGGAUAGGAGCUCCUGCUGCAUGGUGGGGGUUGGAAAGUUUCGGCGGUUGGGGAUGGACUCGCGGCUUAUCAGCUUGUUGGUGGGGUAGUGGCUUACCAAGGCUUUGACGGGUAGCCGGCCUGAGAGGGUGACCGGCCACAUUGGGACUGAGAUACGGCCCAGACUCCUACGGGAGGCAGCAGUGGGGAAUAUUGCACAAUGGACGGAAGCCUGAUGCAGCAACGCCGCGUGCGGGAUGACGGCCUUCGGGUUGUAAACCGCUUUCGCCUGUGACGAAGCGUGAGUGACGGUAAUGGGUAAAGAAGCACCGGCUAACUACGUG
RNAcentral lists this ribosomal RNA (468 nucleotides) under uncultured bacterium. RNAcentral describes it as "partial 16S ribosomal RNA". It matches the Rfam family "Bacterial small subunit ribosomal RNA", at positions 28 to 507 of the family's 1533-position model. The record is from RNAcentral.